UGAGGCGCACAGCGCGGAGGCCUGGGUACUGCGUCCCCGCGCCUGCGCCUAUAGUAUGGCUGGAGGCGUGCGGCGCGCAAGCGGCCCGAAAGUGGGCGGGGCUUAGGGCCGGCGGGCCCAGAAGCGGAUCCUUAUUGAUAGACCCAUCAGAAAAUAGAAGUCACAAAGGAAACCACACCCCAAAAUUUGGAAAAACCGGCAAAUACUGAAAAUCAUGGCAGGAAGCCAGCUGCCAUGUUGUGAGCUGUCCAUGUGGAAAGAAUUGAUGUGUCCAGACAAAAGCCAGCAAGGACCCCAACCCAGCCAACAGUUUAAAUGAGUACGUCUGCAAGAUGAUUAUCCUCCCAUGAAGCCUUCAGGUGAAUGUCGCACUGGCUAACAACCUGCCUGCAGCCUUGUGGGAAUUGAGGCACCCAGCUAAGCCACACCUGGACUCCUUACCCAAAGAGUGAGAUAAUAAACAUGUUUGUUUUAAGCCA
Acinonyx jubatus (cheetah) is the source of this 479-nucleotide long non-coding RNA. RefSeq lists it as uncharacterized. The transcript has 3 exons. The record is from RefSeq and is a predicted model, not a curated record. NCBI's taxonomy places the organism in Eukaryota, Metazoa, Chordata, Mammalia, Carnivora, Felidae.